CAAGAGAGCGCGAAACCGUUAGGAGGGAAGUGCAGGGCAGCGAGCGGAAGGCCCUCGGUGAAAUUCAGCCGUCUGUCGGUUUCCGAUUGGUGGGGAACCGGUGGCGGUGCACUUUUCGCCAGGGCACGUCAGUGGCGAUCGCUUCCGCCCCUCGAAGCGGCGGAGGGUUGCCUCCUCGGAGGUCAGGUGACCGGGACGACCUCGGUCGUCUCGGAGCGUAUACUCUGUCGUCGGGGGCGUGGUGGCGAUCGAGGAGUAGGUUCGUUCCGUAGGCGUCCAUUCGCCUGGAGCAAAGGCAGGUGCGGGCCAGAGUGUCUGGCCGGGCGGCCCAUGGUGUUCGGUAGUCUCGAGCGAGUGCAGCCCCGUCUCCCUGGCGGGCGGCUGGUUCGAGUUCGACCGGCGUCAGGUGUCCGUCUCGCCCGCGCCUAGGUGACUGGCGUGGAGUCGUUGCCGUGCGU
RNAcentral lists this ribosomal RNA (458 nucleotides) under Siphonodictyon viridescens. RNAcentral's name for it is "partial 28S ribosomal RNA". The record is from RNAcentral. Lineage: Eukaryota; Metazoa; Porifera; Demospongiae; Haplosclerida; Phloeodictyidae.